GGUCUGGGGGAUAACGUAGCGAAGCUACGCUAAUACCGCAUACCGAUCUACGGAUGAAANCGGGGAUCGCAAGACCUCGCGCGAUUGGAGCGGCCGAUAUCAGAUUAGGUAGUUGGUGAGGUAAAGGCUCACCAAGCCGACGAUCUGUAGCUGGUCUGAGAGGACGACCAGCCACACUGGGACUGAGACACGGCCCAGACUCCUACGGGAGGCAGCAGUGGGGAAUUUUGGACAAUGGGCGCAAGCCUGAUCCAGCAAUGCCGCGUGCAGGAUGAAGGCCUUCGGGUUGUAAACUGCUUUUGUACGGAACGAAACGGUGAGCUCUAAUACAGUUUGCUAAUGACGGUACCGUAAGAAUAAGCACCGGCUAACUACGUG
This 378-nucleotide ribosomal RNA is filed under the name uncultured bacterium. Its description in RNAcentral is "bacterial SSU rRNA". It matches the Rfam family "Bacterial small subunit ribosomal RNA", at positions 132 to 507 of the family's 1533-position model. The record is from RNAcentral.